Molecule: ribosomal RNA, 1094 nt
Filed under: Thrasymedes pallescens
Lineage: Eukaryota; Metazoa; Arthropoda; Insecta; Hemiptera; Membracidae
Description: SSU rRNA
Rfam family: Eukaryotic small subunit ribosomal RNA
Source: RNAcentral
GGCUCUUGGCCAUGUGUAGGUUCGCCGAAGCAUGCCUCGAGUACCGGCCGCCGAUUCAAUCCCGCCGCGGUGCUCUUAACUGAGUGUCGAGGUGGGCCGGCACGUUUACUUUGAACAAAUUAGAGUGCUUAAAGCAGGCUGAUUUCUGCCUGAAUACUGUGUGCAUGGAAUAAUGGAAUAGGACUUCGGUUCUAUUUUGUUGGUUUUAAGAAUCCGAAGUAAUGAUUAAUAGGGACAGGCGGGGGCAUUCGUAUUGCGACGUUAGAGGUGAAAUUCUUGGAUCGUCGCAAGACGUACCUAAGCGAAAGCAUUUGCCAAGUAUGUCCUCGUUAAUCAAGAACGAAAGUUAGAGGUUCGAAGGCGAUCAGAUACCGCCCUAGUUCUAACCAUAAACGAUGCCAGCCAGCGAUCCGCCAGUGUUCCUCCGAUGACUUGGCGGGCAGCUUCCGGGAAACCAAAGCUUUUGGGUUCCGGGGGAAGUAUGGUUGCAAAGCUGAAACUUAAAGGAAUUGACGGAAGGGCACCACCAGGAGUGGAGCCUGCGGCUUAAUUUGACUCAACACGGGAAACCUCACCAGGCCCGGACACCGGAAGGAUUGACAGAUUGAUAGCUCUUUCUUGAUUCGGUGGGUGGUGGUGCAUGGCCGUUCUUAGUUGGUGGAGCGAUUUGUCUGGUUAAUUCCGAUAACGAACGAGACUCUAGCCUGUUAACUAGGCGUCUCCGGUAUCCACAAUAGUGCUACCGGCGAAUAAAUAUCUUCUUAGAGGGACAGGCGGCUUCUAGCCGCACGAGACUGAGCAAUAACAGGUCUGUGAUGCCCUUAGAUGUCCUGGGCCGCACGCGCGCUACACUGAAGGAAUCAGCGUGUCUUCCCUGGCCGAAAGGUCCGGGUAACCCGUUGAACCUCCUUCGUGCUAGGGAUUGGGGCUUGCAAUUGUUCCCCAUGAACGAGGAAUUCCCAGUAAGCGCGAGUCAUAAGCUCGCGUUGAUUACGUCCCUGCCCUUUGUACACACCGCCCGUCGCUACUACCGAUUGAAUGAUUUAGUGAGGUCUUCGGACUGGUGCGCGGUGAUCGCCUCGUGUGGUCACCGA